UCUAGAGUAUCAAUUUACAACCCGAAGGCCUUCAUACUUCCCACGGCAUUGCUGGAUCAGGUUUGCGCCCAUUGUAUAAAAUUCCCCAGCGCUGCCUCCCCUAAG
This 105-nucleotide ribosomal RNA is filed under the name uncultured bacterium. Its description in RNAcentral is "partial 16S ribosomal RNA". The record is from RNAcentral.